GUAAAAAGUGGAACUGCACACCAAAAUACAAUACAAUACUACUGGUAUUUCUUGAAGAACUCCCUUUAUCAUUGCUUGUAGGGCAACUCUACUACUGAUAAACUUCUCAGCUUUUAUCUGGGGACUGAGUGCUUGGAACAACUUGAGAACUAAACAAAGGUCCCUGCCCACAUAAUGCCUACAUUCUGACGC
Molecule: long non-coding RNA, 192 nt
Organism: Choloepus didactylus (southern two-toed sloth)
Lineage: Eukaryota; Metazoa; Chordata; Mammalia; Pilosa; Megalonychidae
Exons: 3
Source: RefSeq, a predicted model, not a curated record